Molecule: ribosomal RNA, 700 nt
Filed under: uncultured bacterium
Lineage: Bacteria
Description: bacterial SSU rRNA
Rfam family: Bacterial small subunit ribosomal RNA
Source: RNAcentral
CAUGCAGUCGAACGGCAGCACGGGAGCAAUCCUGGUGGCGAGUGGCGAACGGGUGAGUAAUAUAUCGGAACGUGCCCAGUCGUGGGGGAUAACGUAGAGAAAUUUACGCUAAUACCGCAUACGAUCUAAGGAUGAAAGCGGGGGAUCGCAAGACCUCGCGCGAUUGGAGCGGCUGAUAUCAGAUUAGGUUGUUGGUGAGGUAAAAGCUCACCAAGCCGACGAUCUGUAGCUGGUUUGAGAGAACGACCAGCCACACUGGGACUGAGACACGGCCCAGACUCCUACGGGAGGCAGCAGUGGGGAAUUUUGGACAAUGGGCGAAAGCCUGAUCCAGCAAUGCCGCGUGCAGGAAGAAGGCCUUCGGGUUGUAAACUGCUUUUGUACGGAACGAAAAGGUCUGCCCUAAUACGGCGGGCUCAUGACGGUACCGUAAGAAUAAGCACCGGCUAACUACGUGCCAGCAGCCGCGGUAAUACGUAGGGUGCGAGCGUUAAUCGGAAUUACUGGGCGUAAAGCGUGCGCAGGCGGUUAUAUAAGACAGUUGUGAAAUCCCCGGGCUCAACCUGGGAAUUGCAUCUGUGACUGUAUAGCUAGAGUACGGUAGAGGGGGAUGGAAUUCCGCGUGUAGCAGUGAAAUGCGUAGAUAUGCGGAGGAACACCGAUGGCGAAGGCAAUCCCCUGGACCUGUACUGACGCUCAU